RNAcentral lists this ribosomal RNA (497 nucleotides) under uncultured bacterium. Its description in RNAcentral is "partial 16S ribosomal RNA". It matches the Rfam family "Bacterial small subunit ribosomal RNA", at positions 28 to 507 of the family's 1533-position model. The record is from RNAcentral.
GAUGAACGCUGGCGGCGUGCCUAAUACAUGCAAGUCGAGCGAACGGACGAGAAGCUUGCUUCUCUGAUGUUAGCGGCGGACGGGUGAGUAACACGUGGAUAACCUACCUAUAAGACUGGGAUAACUUCGGGAAACCGGAGCUAAUACCGGAUAAUAUUUUGAACCGCAUGGUUCAAAAGUGAAAGACGGUCUUGCUGUCACUUAUAGAUGGAUCCGCGCUGCAUUAGCUAGUUGGUAAGGUAACGGCUUACCAAGGCAACGAUGCAUAGCCGACCUGAGAGGGUGAUCGGCCACACUGGAACUGAGACACGGUCCAGACUCCUACGGGAGGCAGCAGUAGGGAAUCUUCCGCAAUGGGCGAAAGCCUGACGGAGCAACGCCGCGUGAGUGAUGAAGGUCUUCGGAUCGUGAAACUCUGUUAUUAGGGAAGAACAUAUGUGUAAGUAACUGUGCACAUCUUGACGGUACCUAAUCAGAAAGCCACGGCUAACUACGUG